RNAcentral lists this long non-coding RNA (2901 nucleotides) under Homo sapiens (human). Its description in RNAcentral is "long independently transcribed non-coding RNA 319 (LINC00319)". The record is from RNAcentral. Lineage: Eukaryota; Metazoa; Chordata; Mammalia; Primates; Hominidae.
GUUUAGAUUAGGUUGGAAGUCACCUGGGCUGAGCUGAUGGCUGAUUCCGUCAGCAAAAAGAACUGUGGAACAUACUGGCACUUGGGCCGGUGUGAAGCCACCCCCCUGCCAUGAAAAAUGGCUCUUCCCUGCCACAGCCGGCCCAGCGGGAGCCAGGUCAGGGCCUGGAGACACAGCGCCCCCCACCGGAGCCACUGCCCGGCCCAGCAGCACCUGCGGAGAAUCCCACCAGCUCCCACGCCUCCCGCCGCGCCACCGCCCCGGCUUUCUGCAAAUCCACCUUAUGGAAGCCGGAUAAGCACCUCCUCCUCUGAUGCGUCACAGUCACAGGUCCUGGUGAGGAGGGAGCCACGCCAAGCACAGCGGCUGGAACAGGGGCAAGUGGGUGCCCACCCCGAAGUGCAGGCAAUGAACUUGUGCUGUAGCCCAUGGUGAGCUGUGGGGCUGUUUGUGACUGCAGCGUAGCCAAGCCCAUCCCGCCUGAUGCGGCCUCUUCAUCCAGAGUGGGGGUGACGUGCCAGCCCCCACCUCACCGGAAUGCUGGGAGGAGCGUCUCCACGGAAGGAGCUCACUUUGUCAGCUGUAAUGUGCUGUGACUAUCGUAAAGUUCCUUCCGGGUGCAGAGUGAUACAUGAACCCUGGGGACUCACUCCAACUUGGUAUUGAUUUUCUCCACGGAGGACCCAGCAGUCACGGCCCGUGUCUGCACAGCCCCUUGGAUCCUGCGGAGGAAUUCAGCCGGCCCCUCCCCCUGUGCCGAAAACCACGGAGGCAAAGCCAGGCCAGGGUACAGUGAGAACACGGGAGAGGACUGAGAGACCGCUGGCUGCCGAGGGAGGAAGAGCAGGAUUCGCACCCCCGUCAUCGCUGGGCCCACACGCCGCCGACAGCUUCCGCGUGUGGCCAUCUGUCUUUCAGAAACCCUCUGGCAGAGGGACCCAGCAGAUGACACGGGGGCCGUUCACACUCUGAAACCUGCCUGGAGUCAAAACACUGCUGGCGAGCCUCCACCGCAAACCCAAUCCAGAUGGUCUUCCCUGGUGGCCCUCGGGGUGGCGGGCACCCUGCCCACUCCCUGCCAGCCCCUGCCCGCUGGACUCCAGGCCCGGCCGAGCCCCCGACCGGUCUCCUGACCCAGCAUGCUGCUCUCCCCUGGGCCCGGCUUUCUCGCCCGCUGGGACUCCCAGGCCCCUCCAGCCCAGCCCCGAGAGCAGGAGCCCCAAGGGAGGCUUGGCGGCUGUGGAGGCGAGUGGGCCACGUGUAGCUGGGAGGCCGGCAGGACCAGGAGCCCCUCACAGCGCAGCACCCACAGCAUCACGAGCCACUUCCACUCCUGGGUGGCCUGGGGGCCCCCACCCUGCUCUGAGCUGCCCCUUGUUGUGACCUGGGGUCCCCCGUGGUGGGCCCGCCCCUUGAGCCUGGGAUCCAGCCUCAGCGAGGCUCCAGAAGUGUCGUCUCCGCCGGCCAGGCGUCAGCGCCUCCACCCAGGAUCACACACUCCUAUCUCUGCACUUCUGCCCUCCAUCCUGCUCCACGCCGCCUCUGCUUGUUAUUCCAGCACAUUCCAGGGUGAUGCCUGCUGAAGCCACGCAGCCAGUGCCUCCACCCUACCCCCCAUCUGACCCACCGGCCCCUUCCGCACGCUGGAAGCCUGCCCGGCCUGAAGUGUCCUCACCUGUCGCCCUAUCCUCCCCUCCACUCCAGCCCACCGGUGACUCAGCCCUCACAGCUCUCUCCUCCCCGAGGGAGCCGGUGACUUGGCUCUGAUGGUGCCGGGACCCAGCCCCGGCAUGUUCAGAAUCCUUGUCCUUUAACCUGCGUCCACAUGUAGUCGCCUCCACCUCCCUGCCUGAACCUCCAGGCCCUGCAGAGCAAACACUGCUGCCUGCAGGAGACCCCUGGGGCCUUCUCCGUCCCCUCAUCCUCCUAAGGAGCCUCCCCUGCCACCGUGCCAGAAUGUGCCGGAGGAACAGAGGCCCGAGCCUCCCGUGGCCCCAGCGAGGCUUCCUCUGGGGAAGACAGUGAGCCCAACGCCCUGGCUCUCGAGGGGUGGACGGAGUCCAGCUGGCAUCGACCGGGUGCCCCUCUUCACCGGUGUCCACAGUCCUUGAGAGCAAAGGGUUCCCAGAGGCGACCUCCCUCCUGCACAGGCAUUUGUCAUCCUUACCCUCUAGGACAGCUUUGCCAUGUGCAGUGAACCCCUGGACAGUGUUGCGUGCCACUUUGCCGGAUUUGGACUGUAUACAGACCGAAGCAUGUGGCAUGAAGCCUUCUGCUGUCAGCAAGUUCCUUGUCCCUCGACAGUAUGUGCCCAGGCUGCCCUUCAAGGUGGCAGUGAUGGCAGUUGUCUCUUGCACGCUGCGUACAGUUCUGUCACUGACUCUUACACACAGCCCUGGAGACGGGAGAGUGCCGGGAGCAUUCUAUGCAAGUGUCCUGGCCUUUGCGGGCGUCUCCACAGCACAAACACGAGUCAGGGACCACCCCUCUUCUGCUUCCAUGAUUCCACCAACUGGGUGGGGCAGAGCAGUGCCAGGGCCGGAGGCACGCCCCAGGUGAGGGCAGGUGGCCAUGCCAGUGAGUGCACUGCGUUCUCAGUUAAUUCAUCCGAAAUAUUUCUAAGUUUCUUGAUUAUUGCAGUUGCAUCCCCAAGAUAAUGCCGCCCUCACCAAGUAGAAGGCACAUGUGCUCUGAUGGCCCCUCCCACACUGGGGUCAGGGCACAGCAACUUAGCGAGGCGACGUGGGGGCUCAGAGGACCUCGGACCAGGCUCGGCACAUGGGGCUUCUCCAGCCAGCCAGGGGGAAGCACCCUGCAGACUGCUAACUUUUGCAAAAUAGAGUAAAAAAGAUCAGCUAGAAAAAUAAAACAAAAAAGGAAAGAUAUACAAAAUACAAGGCC